GGGGAAUAUUGGACAAUGGGGGAAACCCUGAUCCAGCAAUGCCGCGUGAGUGAAGAAGGCCUUAGGGUUGUAAAGCUCUUUCGCCCGUGACGAUGAUGACGGUAACGGGAGAAGAAGCCCCGGCUAAUUCCGUGCCAGCAGCCGCGGUAAUACGGAAGGGGCUAGCGUUGUUCGGAUUUACUGGGCGUAAAGCGCAUGUAGGCGGCGGAUCAAGUGAGGCGUGAAAGGCCUGGGCUCAACCUGGGAACGGCGCUUCAGACUGGUUUGCUCGAGUUCGGGAGAGGGUGGUGGAUUUCCCAGUGUAGAGGUGAAAUUCGUAGAUAUUGGGAGGAACACCGGUGGCGAAGGCGGCCACCUGGCCCGAGACUGACGCUCAAGUGCGAAAGCGUGGGGAGCAAAC
Molecule: ribosomal RNA, 400 nt
Filed under: uncultured bacterium
Lineage: Bacteria
Description: bacterial SSU rRNA
Rfam family: Bacterial small subunit ribosomal RNA
Source: RNAcentral